AGCAGCCGCGGUAAUUCCAGCUCCAAUAGCGUAUAUUAAAGUUGUUGCAGUUAAAAAGCUCGUAGUUGAAUUUCGGGAUCAAUAUGUUGGUCGUGCCUUGGUACGUACUAAUUUAUUGGUUUCUUCCUUCUGACGAACCAUGAUGUCAUUAAUUUGGUGUCUUGGGGAAUCAGGACUGUUACUUUGAAAAAAUUAGAGUGUUUAAAGCAGGCUCACGCUUGAAUACAUUAGCAUGGAAUAAUGAAAUAGGACGUUUGAUUCUAUUUUGUUGGUUUCUAGGAUUGACGUAAUGAUUAAUAGGGAUAGUUGGGGGCAUUAGUAUUCAAUUGUCAGAGGUGAAAUUCUUGGAUUUAUUGAAGACUAACUACUGCGAAAGCAUUUGCCAAGGAUGUUUUCAUUAAUCUAAGAACGAAAGUUAGGGGAUCGAAGACGAUCAGAUACCGUCGUAGUCUUAACCAUAAACUAUGCCGACUAGGGAUCGGAUGAUGUUAAUUUUUAANGACUCAUUCGGCGCCUUACG
RNAcentral lists this ribosomal RNA (520 nucleotides) under uncultured Glomus. RNAcentral's name for it is "SSU rRNA". It matches the Rfam family "Eukaryotic small subunit ribosomal RNA", at positions 569 to 1092 of the family's 1831-position model. The record is from RNAcentral. Lineage: Eukaryota; Fungi; Glomeromycota; Glomeromycetes; Glomerales; Glomeraceae.